RNAcentral lists this long non-coding RNA (1034 nucleotides) under Numida meleagris (helmeted guineafowl). RNAcentral describes it as "lncRNA (ENSNMEG00000006092.1)". Lineage: Eukaryota; Metazoa; Chordata; Aves; Galliformes; Numididae. The record is from RNAcentral.
AUGAAUGAAGACACAGUGGAAUUGGUGUCUUACUUGAUGACCUCGCCUUUAAGCAGUGGGAUGAUGUGGGCUGCUCAAAGCAAAUUUACACAGGCUGGAACAAUUUGUAUCAAGAGACAGAAGAAUAUUCAAUUCAGAAUUGACCUUAGAGCAGAGGUAACCCGUUUCUCAAGAGGUUUAGAACAAAGCUACCCCAAUACUGACAGCGGCUGUGAAAAUACUCCAUAGAAGUAGGUAACUUCUUGGCUCUCUUAGCAUUGGUGAGAUUUCAUAUUACUUAAUUUACUCUUAUAUGGUUCAUUAAAAACAACCUCAUGAAUUUGGUUCACAAACACUGAAAAUAGAUAAAGCACACACAGGUAUGAGGUGGUGUCAAUCAAAUUCAAAGAGUGGUCCAUAGUCUGUGGUCCAGCAUCUCUCUGAGUGUCCUGAACUUACCAGUCUCCAAAAUGGGUAGUAUAUGAAGGAAUAAUUUAGUAGAAUAUGAUAGAAAAAAGGUACACGAUCCAUCUCUGGUCCAGAUAUAUGUUGUAUCUCUGAUACUUUUUAUGAGAUACAGUAUGUGUGCUUUCAUCAGCUGGAUGCUAAACAGACAAAUAGACUGAAACAGUUAGGAAGGCUCAGUAAAUCUUCCCAACUUGGAACAUUCCAUCAGUUCCAGAAAACUGGUAUAGUAAUACUUCAUCAGGUGCAGCUGGUGGAUUUGGCAAACUGAUCUUGUCUUUAACAAAACAAAGGUUAUAUCUUUUACCGUGUCAUCUGGAGACAGAUCUUUCAUCACCUUUUGUCUGGCACUAACACAUCACUUAUGUAGUGCAAAAGGAAAAAAUGAAUCAGGUUCUUCAAAAUCCAUUAUUUAAAUUGAUGUUUUGUUCAGGAAAGACAAUAUGAGCUUAAAAACAGCGUUGGAAAGAUGUUGAAAGUUUUUACCCAAACUUCAAAGAAAAGAACAAUGUACACUAUUAUAAAUUCAGCAAUAGAUCUUUGAAAGAAUUAUUGAAAUGGAGAAUAAAAGCUCUGACCUAAAGGAUACA